Molecule: ribosomal RNA, 406 nt
Filed under: uncultured bacterium
Lineage: Bacteria
Description: partial 16S ribosomal RNA
Rfam family: Bacterial small subunit ribosomal RNA
Source: RNAcentral
UGGGGAAUAUUGGGCAAUGGGCGAAAGCCUGACCCAGCAACGCCGCGUGAGGGAAGAAGGCCUUCGGGUUGUAAACCUCUGUCCUUGGGGACGAAAAAAAUGACGGUAGCCAAGGAGGAAGCCCCGGCUAACUACGUGCCAGCAGCCGCGGAAAUCCGUGGGGGGGGGGCGUUGCCCGGAAUUACUGGGCGUAAAGGGUGCGUAGGUGGCCUUUUAAGUUGGAUGUGAAAUCCCCGGGCUUAACUUGGGUGGUGCAUCUAAUACUGGAGGGCUAGAGUGCAGGAGAGGGAAGCGGAAUUCCUAGUGUAGCGGUGAAAUGCGUAGAUAUUAGGAGGAACACCAGUGGCGAAGGCGGCUUUCUGGACUGUAACUGACACUGAGGCACGAAGGCGUGGGGAGCAAACAG